GAUAGAUAGGAGACAAAACCUACUUAUGGAAGCAUAAGGUGUCAACGGUUCAUAAUUAAAGCUGAAAGUCCGGUUAACUUUAAUAUGCCAAUGUACUCGGAUAGGACACAUAUGGCGCGUACAUUGAACCAAUGGUGCAUGACUAUUUUUGCCUGAUCUUGAAAGAGCAGAAGGUACAUUUGGAGAUUCGGACCUGUAAGAUGGUAUCAGACAAGUGAAAAUUGCCGAUCCCUGGUUGGGUAAUGCUGUUUUGGCAGCCACAAGCGCAAGUUGGACAGCUCACAAUGGAUUUGCUAUAAAAGGAUGAGAGUGAGACACAACAGGGUAAGUCUGGUGAUGCAGAUAUUGGUGCAUAAAACCAACAACAAUGACAAGGAAAAGUAUCAAAGAAGGAUAAGAAGGGCCCACAGGUAUAUCCAGGCCCCGGUGUAUUCAGUGUGAAGUUUUGUGGUGCUCUGGCAGUUGUAUUGUUAGUUCCCGCUUGAUUAAC
This is a non-coding RNA of Coffea arabica (coffee), 490 nucleotides long. Lineage: Eukaryota; Viridiplantae; Streptophyta; Magnoliopsida; Gentianales; Rubiaceae. The record is from RefSeq and is a predicted model, not a curated record.